CGAACGAUGAUCCGGUGCUUGCACCGGGGAUUAGUGGCGAACGGGUGAGUAACACGUGAGUAACCUGCCCUUAACUCUGGGAUAAGCCUGGGAAACUGGGUCUAAUACCGGAUAUGACUGAUCAUCGCAUGGUGGUUGGUGGAAAGCUUUUUGUGGUUUUGGAUGGACUCGCGGCCUAUCAGCUUGUUGGUGAGGUAAUGGCUUACCAAGGCGACGACGGGUAGCCGGCCUGAGAGGGUGACCGGCCACACUGGGACUGAGACACGGCCCAGACUCCUACGGGAGGCAGCAGUGGGGAAUAUUGCACAAUGGGCGCAAGCCUGAUGCAGCGACGCCGCGUGAGGGAUGACGGCCUUCGGGUUGUAAACCUCUUUCAGUAGGGAAGAAGCGAAAGUGACGGUACCUGCAGAAGAAGCGCCGGCUAACUACGUGCCAGCAGCCGCGGUAAUACGUAGGGCGCAAGCGUUAUCCGGAAUUAUUGGGCGUAAAGAGCUCGUAGGCGGUUUGUCGCGUCUGCCGUGAAAGUCCGGGGCUCAACUCCGGAUCUGCGGUGGGUACGGGCAGACUAGAGUGAUGUAGGGGAGACUGGAAUUCCUGGUGUAGCGGUGAAAUGCGCAGAUAUCAGGAGGAACACCGAUGGCGAAGGCAGGUCUCUGGGCAUUAACUGACGCUGAGGAGCGAAAGCAUGGGGAGCGAACAGGAUUAGAUACCCUGGUAGUCCAUGCCGUAAACGUUGGGCACUAGGUGUGGGGGACAUUCCACGUUUUCCGCGCCGUAGCUAACGCAUUAAGUGCCCCGCCUGGGGAGUACG
Molecule: ribosomal RNA, 811 nt
Filed under: Arthrobacter humicola
Lineage: Bacteria; Bacillati; Actinomycetota; Actinomycetes; Micrococcales; Micrococcaceae
Description: bacterial SSU rRNA
Rfam family: Bacterial small subunit ribosomal RNA
Source: RNAcentral